This 482-nucleotide ribosomal RNA is filed under the name uncultured bacterium. RNAcentral's name for it is "partial 16S ribosomal RNA". It matches the Rfam family "Bacterial small subunit ribosomal RNA", at positions 30 to 507 of the family's 1533-position model. The record is from RNAcentral.
AUUGAACGCUGGCGGCAUGCUUUACACAUGCAAGUCGAACGGUAACAGGCCGCAAGGUGCUGACGAGUGGCGAACGGGUGCGUAAUGCAUCGGAACGUGCCCAGUCGUGGGGGAUAACUACUCGAAAGAGUAGCUAAUACCGCAUACGAUCUAUGGAUGAAAGCGGGGGACCGUAAGGCCUCGCGCGAUUGGAGCGGCCGAUGUCAGAUUAGGUAGUUGGUGGGGUAAAGGCUCACCAAGCCAACGAUCUGUAGCUGGUCUGAGAGGACGAGCAGCCACACUGGGACUGAGACACGGCCCAGACUCCUACGGGAGGCAGCAGUGGGGAAUUUUGGACAAUGGGCGCAAGCCUGAUCCAGCAAUGCCGCGUGCAGGAAGAAGGCCUUCGGGUUGUAAACUGCUUUUGUACGGAAAGAAACGGCUCUGGUUAAUACCCGGGGCUAAUGACGGUACCGUAAGAAUAAGCACCGGCUAACUACGUG